This 288-nucleotide long non-coding RNA is filed under the name Mytilus galloprovincialis (Mediterranean mussel). The record is from RNAcentral. Lineage: Eukaryota; Metazoa; Mollusca; Bivalvia; Mytilida; Mytilidae.
UGCUCCUCCAUUUUUUUUAUUUUUUGUCAGAUUUUCGGAAUCCUCUGGUUUUAUCCAUGUAUUGUCAUUAAAAGAAUUUGCCCACUAACCCCUACUUUACUUUUCAUAAUUUUAUUACAUAAAGUUUGAAAAGCCAUAUUUCAAAAUUUUAUAGAAUUCUUGUUAUUUUUUCAUAGUUUUUGAAACAGAUAAGGUGCCAAUGUUAAAUAUAUGUAAAAUCUAGAGAUAAUUAUUUCCCGCCAAAUUUUCAAUGGCUUAUAUCUCGAAAACGAGCACACGGACCCUCCA